UUCGAUUGUGCCAGCAGCCGCGGUAAUACAGAGGGUGCAAGCGUUAAUCGGAUUUACUGAGCGUAAAGCGCGCGUAGGUGGCCAAUUAAGUCAAAUGUGAAAUCCCCGAGCUUAACUUGGGAAUUGCAUUCGAUACUGGUUGGCUAGAGUAUGGGAGAGGAUGGUAGAAUUCCAGGUGUAGCGGUGAAAUGCGUAGAGAUCUGGAGGAAUACCGGUGGCGAAGGCGGCCCCCUGGACAAAGACUGACGCUCAGGUGCGAAAGCGUGGGGAGCAAACAGGAUUAGAUACCCUGGUAGUCCACGCCGUAAACGAUGUCGAUUUGGAGGCUGUGUCCUUGAGAGCGUGGCUUCCGGAGCUAACGCGUUAAAUCGACCCGCCUGGGGAGUACCGGCCGC
RNAcentral lists this ribosomal RNA (395 nucleotides) under uncultured bacterium. Its description in RNAcentral is "bacterial SSU rRNA". It matches the Rfam family "Bacterial small subunit ribosomal RNA", at positions 498 to 889 of the family's 1533-position model. The record is from RNAcentral.